CGUUCGUCUCUGCAGCUCUCAGAGCCUGAACUGGCCGUUUUUUUCUUGUACUUAUCAAGAUUCUUCAGUUGCGGAGGUGUACACAUGCUCGGUAGCUCUUGUCUAUACGUCGCCACCCGACAUUGUCACCCGUGGAAUCGGGGUUGAGGGGACGUCAACAAGUCAGAGGCCAGCUGGUCACAAAAGGGCUGACUGUGACGCAGAAACUUGAAGUGCGUUGGCUGACGAUAUCUUCCUUUUGUUCGUUAAACGGAGCAUUCAGCCCGCAAGAGGAAACGAAGCGGGAGGCGAAAAGGUGCGCCACGAGCACAACUACCUUCAAGCACGCAUGGGGUUGGUGAUGCGUGAGCCGAGCUGGCGUUUGAUUCGAAAAUACUCACGCCCACUCUCCCACUCACCCACACCCCACCUCCCAUGCAGCCCGCUCCCCAAGUGCAUGCCCUUUCCUUGUGCGGCGACGCGUGCGUCUUUGAGCGCGUCUCUUAUUGCGGUGGCCUCUCUCUGUCAUGUCACCGCGUCUACCGCGGUGUUGUGGUGCCUUGUCUGUAUUCGCCUCAGCGCGUGCCGCGCAUUUUCCACCUCUGUCGUAAACGUGCCCUUUCGUAUCAUUCUCUCUUCGUUGUUGGCGCGUCUCCGUGCUGGCUUCGCGGGCCCACCGUUUUUUUUUUUUUUCUUUUUCGGAGGGGGAUCGGUUGUUUUGUUCAGGGCUCCUUGCGCCUUCCCUCGGACCAUCCCAGACACCAACCCGACGUAAAGAGUUAAAGGGUGACAGACACACACACACACACGCGCGCGCGCGCAGCUAUACGUGUAGGGCCGACAAAGAGGUGGUCUGUGUCGUCUCUCCGUGGCCGCACGGUAUGCGCGGGCGUUUGGGAGCGGGAAAGAAAGCCGAAGCAGCAGCAAUGCUGUUCCACCUUAUCUCGAAAUUUCGUCCCUCUGCAGAGAAGUGCGUGCACGCGAAGCUGUCGCUCGCUCCCUCACCCUCGCUGUGAUUACCUGGUGAGACGAGUAGGCUGGGCUUCCUACAAAGUAAUGAUGGAAAGCACUCAAGAACUUCUCACUGCUGAUAUCUCGCUCGGUGCCUGGAGUGGUUUUCUCUAGAAUCCCAUUGCUCACCACAGCAAGCCGAAGACAACGGAUAAGAGUCCACGGGUCAUCGAGGUUGCAGGGCCGGCAUGUUUUCCGCAGCGGACUUCUAUUCUUUUUGGAAUGCUGCAUUGCACUACUUGCUCCCAUUCUUUUAUGUUUGUUCUAUGGAAGACUGCACGCGUUGCCUUUCGUUCCGACUCGAGGGCCCCCCCCACACGCACACGCACACACACUGCGGUGUAUGCGUCAUGUGUGCAUGUGCAGCCUCGAUUUGGUCAACCGUCACUCCUGCUCUCUUUUUUUUUGUUAUUCCUCGCUUCGAGCGACGAUAUCCAUGUAGAGGUGCUUUCUUUUCUUGUUGUAGCUGUUGUUGGCGAUGCACAUCGUCUCUUGCGCGUAGCUCGGUCCGCUGCACACGUAAUCCGUCUUCGCCAUUGGCAUUCGAUGCUCAUUCUGUCUUGGAUUUGGGAUAUCUCCUUCGCUUCUUUUUUUUUGUUCAUCUGUUGAUGUUGGCUUCGAAGCUCUGCCGGAGGCCAUGCCUCGCGUUUACGUGUCGUGCGUCCGCGUAUUCGCGCCCGCUCGCGUCUGCCCGCUUCGUGUAACUUCUGAUCCUCGCGCGGUGCGUGUUUUGCGCAGUACGGCCAUGUCGUACUCUUUUAUUGGCUUCCUCUCUUUGGUCUAUUGGCGUGCGCCUGCUUUUUUGUUUUUGUUUGAUGGCGGAGACAGCACGGUCAGCGCUGUAGCGAGGAGUGUGGUGCAUGCUCGCUCUGUCGGCCGUUUGGCCUAUGCCGCCCGCCCCCCUUUCCGUGUUGAGCUCUCUCGCCGCCAUGAGCGCCACCCACCCGAGCCCUUCAAAGUCGAGCCUGAUCAGUCGCGUCUCUCGUAUCCUUCCUGCGUCGUUUACGCGUUGCGAGGCCAGCGGUCGCUCUGCCGUGCCGCUCCGUUUCCUUAUUCGCCCACCAACGUCUGUUUUCGCGUUUCUGCUGUUGAUGUUGCGGGAGGGGGCAGCUCAGCGCACAGAACAGGUCAGAGCAGGAACAGUCCGUUCGAAACGUGUCGCUUUCGUCCUCACGUAGCUCUCGCCCGCUCACCACGCGACUCUCGCGCGGGAGAUGUUGGCGUGCGUGCGCGAGUGCUGUUUCAUCACCCUUUCCUCCUCGGGAUCAAAUCACCCGCUCCCCGAACAAAAAAAAAAACGAAGGAAUGUAAAAGCGAAAAGAGCCUAUCGCCGCGCGACGCAGCAGAAGAUACUUCGCGUCACUUUCAUAUUCGCCUUCGCUUUCUGCGCCUCUGCUUAGACGUUUGUCUUGUGCUUAGGGGUGCAUGAAGGUCUCCGGUCCACCAUUCCUGAUCACGGGUGCCUCCUUCUACGCGCCUCCGCUUUCCGCAAGGUGGGGACAGCUGCUCCACACCUGCGAAUCCCAACGCCUCUCUCUCAAUGAAACCAAG
This 2541-nucleotide unclassified non-coding RNA is filed under the name Leishmania donovani. RNAcentral's name for it is "gene:unknown". Lineage: Eukaryota; Euglenozoa; Kinetoplastea; Trypanosomatida; Trypanosomatidae. The record is from RNAcentral.